RNAcentral lists this ribosomal RNA (908 nucleotides) under Escherichia coli. RNAcentral describes it as "partial 23S ribosomal RNA". It matches the Rfam family "Bacterial large subunit ribosomal RNA", at positions 977 to 1869 of the family's 2925-position model. Lineage: Bacteria; Pseudomonadati; Pseudomonadota; Gammaproteobacteria; Enterobacterales; Enterobacteriaceae. The record is from RNAcentral.
ACGGGAGACACACGGCGGGUGCUAACGUCCGUCGUGAAGAGGGAAACAACCCAGACCGCCAGCUAAGGUCCCAAAGUCAUGGUUAAGUGGGAAACGAUGUGGGAAGGCCCAGACAGCCAGGAUGUUGGCUUAGAAGCAGCCAUCAUUUAAAGAAAGCGUAAUAGCUCACUGGUCGAGUCGGCCUGCGCGGAAGAUGUAACGGGGCUAAACCAUGCACCGAAGCUGCGGCAGCGACGCUUAUGCGUUGUUGGGUAGGGGAGCGUUCUGUAAGCCUGCGAAGGUGUGCUGUGAGGCAUGCUGGAGGUAUCAGAAGUGCGAAUGCUGACAUAAGUAACGAUAAAGCGGGUGAAAAGCCCGCUCGCCGGAAGACCAAGGGUUCCUGUCCAACGUUAAUCGGGGCAGGGUGAGUCGACCCCUAAGGCGAGGCCGAAAGGCGUAGUCGAUGGGAAACAGGUUAAUAUUCCUGUACUUGGUGUUACUGCGAAGGGGGGACGGAGAAGGCUAUGUUGGCCGGGCGACGGUUGUCCCGGUUUAAGCGUGUAGGCUGGUUUUCCAGGCAAAUCCGGAAAAUCAAGGCUGAGGCGUGAUGACGAGGCACUACGGUGCUGAAGCAACAAAUGCCCUGCUUCCAGGAAAAGCCUCUAAGCAUCAGGUAACAUCAAAUCGUACCCCAAACCGACACAGGUGGUCAGGUAGAGAAUACCAAGGCGCUUGAGAGAACUCGGGUGAAGGAACUAGGCAAAAUGGUGCCGUAACUUCGGGAGAAGGCACGCUGAUAUGUAGGUGAAGCGACUUGCUCGUGGAGCUGAAAUCAGUCGAAGAUACCAGCUGGCUGCAACUGUUUAUUAAAAACACAGCACUGUGCAAACACGAAAGUGGACGUAUACGGUGUGACGCCUGCCCGGUGC